This 87-nucleotide non-coding RNA is filed under the name unclassified sequences. Its description in RNAcentral is "freshwater-2 RNA". It matches the Rfam family "freshwater-2 RNA". Rfam says of the family: Aquatic, esp. fresh water. No recognized genes The record is from RNAcentral.
UCUUACAUCGUGUGAGAGACUUAUGCGGAUAACAACCGCGUACCCAGGAGAACUGGGAUUGGACUCCUUUAAAGGAGAAAACAAAUG